Non-coding RNA from Paramuricea clavata, 355 nucleotides. NCBI's taxonomy places the organism in Eukaryota, Metazoa, Cnidaria, Anthozoa, Malacalcyonacea, Plexauridae. The record is from the annotation of a GenBank genome assembly.
AAUUAAUUCUCGCUAUCUGCGAUGAACUUGGUAACAAUAUCACAAAGUCUUUGUCUGUCGAUCGCACGAAACAGUUCUGCGAGUUCCCAAAGAUUAUUUGGUCCAACAAAUAAUAGUUUCUCAAGGUGAAGAAAUAAUUUCAAAGUCGUGUCGAGCGACUCCAUUGUGCCGGCUGGAAUAACCGACGCUAACAUGAACUUGAGUUCUUCAAUAUCUUUCGAAGUAAGUCGGUGUGACAAUUUCAACAUGAACCGCCGAUACUUGAAGUCCGGUAUCGUUGAGUUCCGAUUCUGCAUUUGGAAAUCUUUCGUCGUAGGAGAUCUGGGGAUGUUUGAUUAUUUCAAAGGGAGAUGAG